This 159-nucleotide microRNA precursor is filed under the name Pelobates cultripes (western spadefoot toad). Lineage: Eukaryota; Metazoa; Chordata; Amphibia; Anura; Pelobatidae. The record is from RNAcentral.
GCUGACACAUCCCGGCCAAUCUCCAGCAGACCCUCCCUCCCAGACCCUCUCACCUCCUGGACAGCAUCCAUGUUGAAGCUGCCUUCAACAUGGAUGCUGUCCAGGAGUUGGGAGGGUCUGGGAGGGAGGGUCUGCUGGAGAUUGGCCGGGAUGUGUCAG